This 85-nucleotide transfer RNA is filed under the name Felis catus (domestic cat). It matches the Rfam family "tRNA". From Rfam's summary of the family: Transfer RNA (tRNA) molecules are approximately 80 nucleotides in length. The record is from Rfam by way of RNAcentral. RNAcentral also lists the same sequence under 2 other names. Lineage: Eukaryota; Metazoa; Chordata; Mammalia; Carnivora; Felidae.
ACCUGGGUGGCUCAGUUGGUUGGGCGUCUGACUUCAGCUCAGGUCAUGAUCUCACAGUUUGUGGGUUUGAGCCCCACAUCAGGCU